Molecule: long non-coding RNA, 390 nt
Filed under: Pan troglodytes (chimpanzee)
Lineage: Eukaryota; Metazoa; Chordata; Mammalia; Primates; Hominidae
Description: lincRNA
Source: RNAcentral
UGUUUAUUAACUACAAACCAUGAGGUACUUGCCAACUCUGACCAUAAAAUGUUCUAUUCUGAGGCUGUCUCUCUGUUUCUGAGGAGAAUAAGAAGUCAAAUGUCUUGAAAAUAACCAGUCCCAUCCUGAGAAAACCUUCUAGUUACUUUCUCUCCUCGGAUUUUGUUUUUUAAUUAAAACAAGCUAAAGUGAAAUAAAUAAAACAAAAUGCUCUGUAAUGGUGGAGGCAAGUGGAAUGAAAGUACAUUUUCCAUUCACAACAAUGUACACAUGAAUGUUUAAAUUCAUCAGCCUUUCACUGUGUAAUAAUGUGACAUGUUUACAGUGUUGAAGGAAAUCAGGUGUUUUCAUGCUAAAUGAAAAUAAAAUUUAUGUACUGUUAUUACCAUA